AGGACGAACGCUGGCGGCGUGCUUAACACAUGCAAGUCGAGCGGUAAGGCCUCUUCGGGGGUACACGAGCGGCGGACGGGUGAGUAACACGUGGGUAACCUACCCGGAAGUGGGGAAUACCUCGGGGAAACUCGAGCUAAUACCGCAUAACAUCUUCGGGACGAAAGUCCUGACGAUCAAAGCGGGGUCGCAAGAUCUCGCGCUACCGGAUGGGCCCGCGCCCGAUUAGCUAGUUGGUGAGGUAAUGGCUCACCAAGGCGACGAUCGGU
RNAcentral lists this ribosomal RNA (269 nucleotides) under uncultured bacterium. RNAcentral describes it as "partial small subunit ribosomal RNA". It matches the Rfam family "Bacterial small subunit ribosomal RNA", at positions 26 to 284 of the family's 1533-position model. The record is from RNAcentral.